RNAcentral lists this ribosomal RNA (1147 nucleotides) under Escherichia coli 3-020-07_S3_C2. Its description in RNAcentral is "bacterial LSU rRNA". It matches the Rfam family "Bacterial large subunit ribosomal RNA", at positions 1782 to 2925 of the family's 2925-position model. Lineage: Bacteria; Pseudomonadati; Pseudomonadota; Gammaproteobacteria; Enterobacterales; Enterobacteriaceae. The record is from RNAcentral.
GAUACCAGCUGGCUGCAACUGUUUAUUAAAAACACAGCACUGUGCAAACACGAAAGUGGACGUAUACGGUGUGACGCCUGCCCGGUGCCGGAAGGUUAAUUGAUGGGGUUAGCGCAAGCGAAGCUCUUGAUCGAAGCCCCGGUAAACGGCGGCCGUAACUAUAACGGUCCUAAGGUAGCGAAAUUCCUUGUCGGGUAAGUUCCGACCUGCACGAAUGGCGUAAUGAUGGCCAGGCUGUCUCCACCCGAGACUCAGUGAAAUUGAACUCGCUGUGAAGAUGCAGUGUACCCGCGGCAAGACGGAAAGACCCCGUGAACCUUUACUAUAGCUUGACACUGAACAUUGAGCCUUGAUGUGUAGGAUAGGUGGGAGGCUUAGAAGUGUGGACGCCAGUCUGCAUGGAGCCGACCUUGAAAUACCACCCUUUAAUGUUUGAUGUUCUAACGUGGACCCGUAUCCGGGUUGCGGACAGUGUCUGGUGGGUAGUUUGACUGGGGCGGUCUCCUCCUAAAGAGUAACGGAGGAGCACGAAGGUUGGCUAAUCCUGGUCGGACAUCAGGAGGUUAGUGCAAUGGCAUAAGCCAGCUUGACUGCGAGCGUGACGGCGCGAGCAGGUGCGAAAGCAGGUCAUAGUGAUCCGGUGGUUCUGAAUGGAAGGGCCAUCGCUCAACGGAUAAAAGGUACUCCGGGGAUAACAGGCUGAUACCGCCCAAGAGUUCAUAUCGACGGCGGUGUUUGGCACCUCGAUGUCGGCUCAUCACAUCCUGGGGCUGAAGUAGGUCCCAAGGGUAUGGCUGUUCGCCAUUUAAAGUGGUACGCGAGCUGGGUUUAGAACGUCGUGAGACAGUUCGGUCCCUAUCUGCCGUGGGCGCUGGAGAACUGAGGGGGGCUGCUCCUAGUACGAGAGGACCGGAGUGGACGCAUCACUGGUGUUCGGGUUGUCAUGCCAAUGGCACUGCCCGGUAGCUAAAUGCGGAAGAGAUAAGUGCUGAAAGCAUCUAAGCACGAAACUUGCCCCGAGAUGAGUUCUCCCUGACUCCUUGAGAGUCCUGAAGGAACGUUGAAGACGACGACGUUGAUAGGCCGGGUGUGUAAGCGCAGCGAUGCGUUGAGCUAACCGGUACUAAUGAACCGUGAGGCUUAACCU